GAUAAUGUGAAAGUAAAUAAUUGUGUGAAUAUGUAUAUAGUAACGCGUUUAUGUUAGUUAUCAAGCUGAGACAAGAUACUUUGACACGUACAAAUGAUUGUAAUUCGUUGCACGAACUUUUUGGGCGUUACAAAACAGUGCCUUAUCGUGCGACAUAUGAAGUAUUGAUAUCUUAAAUUAUGAUCUUGUUAUCGUAUUAUUUAUUCGAAAUUUAUUAGCAUGUAUCUGUCAACUGUCAAUUAUAAAACGCGUUCAGAUAUUCUCUUCUUUAUUCCGUUUUAAUGUUACAACUAGAAAAAUGCUAUGGCGUCCUCAGGAUCAUAUAAUGGGGAUGCAGAGACAGAGAGUGAUAAGUUUGAAGGUUCUAAAAUUGAUCGACAUGGUUUCCUUCAAGAUUCCAAUUGUAGCUCUGACAGCCUUGUUAAACAAGGAUUACCACCAGAGGUAAUGCUUAGAAGGGAACGAAAAUGGAUACAGAUGUUAAACAAUUGGAGUUAUUUCAUGAAUACAAAUUAUCGUAAAGUUAGAGAAAGAUGUAGAAAGGGUAUUCCACCUUCAGUAAGACUUCGUGCAUGGCUAAAUCUUUGCGGAGGUCAAUUGCUAAUGGAUACAAACCCAAAUUUAUUUGAAGAGUUGGUGGAGCGAUCUGGUGAUCCAAAGUAUAUAGAUGAUAUCAAAAAAGAUCUUCAUCGUCAAUUUCCACAUCAUAUAAUGUUUAUUGGAGAAGCUCCUGGACAGGAGGAACUGUUCAAAGUAUUGAAAGCUUAUUCUAUUUUAAAUAGUAAAGUUGGUUAUUGUCAAGCUCAAGCACCUAUUGCUGCAUUUUUACUGAUGCAUAUGCCAGCAGUACAAGCAUUUUGGUGCCUUGUUGCAAUAUGUGACAAGUAUUUAAUUGGAUAUUAUAGUCAAGGAAUGGAAACAUUAUUACGCGAUGGAGAUAUUUUAUUUGCUCUUUUGAAAAGAGUGUCUCCCAUUGCUUACAAACAUUUGAAAAAACAAAAGAUGGAACCAAUCUUAUAUAUGACCGAAUGGUUCUUAUGUGUUUAUACGCGAACACUGCCAUGGGAAAGUAUUCUACGAGUGUGGGAUAUGUUCCUUUGUGAAGGUGUUAAAAUUAUCUUUAAAGUUGGACUAGUUUUGUUAAAAGGCAGCUUAGGACGCACAUCUCUUACUAAGCGCUGUCCGACAGUUUAUGAAACGCUUCAAGUAUUAAGAAAUCCUCCUCAGCAUAUUAUGGAAGAAGAAGCUUUAGUUUAUCAGAUUCGAAAAUUAAAUCUAACCGAAGAAGAUUUCGAAUACGAACAUCAACGUCAAGUAUUAAAACGGAAAGCUGCAGAGCAAGCAUCUCUUUCCACUGCCAAUCGGACAGACUGAUUACAAAAGAAUAGAUAGCAUGUAAAGUGAAUAAUGAGCUUACAGUUUUUAGCGGAAAGAAGUAAUAUUGAUAGAGAGGCUGCUUAAUCGGAAAUUCCACGUGAGUUUUUGUAAUCUGAGGUACCUCGCCGGAAGAGAGUGCAUUGGUUAAUGAAGACAAACUGAUCGUCGAUCCCUUUUCUAAUGCGCUUUUAUACAUGGCCGCCAAUUCUGCCCUUGUAAAUCCAAGCACUUCUGGAUCUUUUACUUUGGUAACAAUCGGAAUGUGAGGCUGAAAAAUCAGAGGUUCACGCUCGUAAUGGAAAUACCAUGUUACGGAUGUGCGUAACAAACACUCGCGGUCAGUAUGUUCGCAAUUGUACUAGCAGGGAUGGACUGCAUGAAUAUCCUCGGCCAACUCGUUCCCCACCAGGUAUUCGAGGAAUUCAUGGUUGUACAAUUAUCCAAUUACCUACUACUACAAUGCAAGAUUGGUGACUCCAUAGACAUACGAUAGAAUAUAAUGGAUGUGCCCGAAACCACAUACGUAUUUGACGAAUAGUCCAUGAUCAAGUUUUCAAAUACACAUAAAUUGGGCAACACGAGUGAUUAUUAAGUGACUCGUAAGAAAAAUGGGAACAGUACAGUAAACCAGUUCAGAGGAAACAAGCGACAAGAUUAAGUGCAAUCUUGAUCUGGAGUCUUUUGCUUUUUGACGCAGAUCAUAGGAUGCCAUCAAGUUCGUUAAAAGGAAACUUGCAUGGAUGCCCGAACAUAGACAAAAGCGAGAAUCGUAUACAUAAUACAUAUAUAUUUUCUCAGUUGUGGUAAUACUUUUUGUUUUAAGCGAGAGACAAUUGGUAUAUCGGUAUUAGUAUUUUAAUUGAGAAAGUUGUUUUAAUAUUUGAUUUAUUCUAAAAACGCCAUAUGAGAUGGUAAUAAUGUAUAUGGGACAAUAUAAUAAUGGGAUAGUAAUUUCCUAGAAGAUAUGGUUUAUAACAUUCUGCUCGUAUAAAAUCUAUGUCGUGAUUAUAAUUGUCAUUAGUUUAUUAUGCAAAUCACAGUGUAAGUUCUCGAUGUAGACCGUGUACAAUAAACGAUGAAGGAAUUGCGGUUCACUGAGUGGACCUGCGAGGAGCCGUUAGAUGGUAACCAAUGAUUUUCUUUAAUUAUAUUCGUCCAUCGUAAUUACUCGUCUAGAUUACAAUACUGAUAUUUCCCGCUUUCUACAUUAUAUACUUUUCGUUACAAAAUUAAAUUGCUCUAAUUUCCUAUAAUGAUAAAUAUCGAUAAUAUUACAAUAAAAACGAUUAAAUAGUUAUGUAUACCAAUACUAAUGAUGUUUGUAGCUUAAAAUUUACAUAACGGUACAUUAACUCGUGGGAUUGAAAAUGACUAGAUCCGCGAAUAGAUAGAAAAUAAUAAUUAAAUAUUAUAUACGCAUACAUUCGGAAUGAAAUUUGAUUUUGUGAGUCUAUAAAUUACACGAAGGAAUUUAUAUAAAAGUAGUCUUAGAUUUUCGUUGGACAAAUGUUAAAAGAAUGUACCGUAAUGUUUCGUGUCCUGUUAUGUUAGUAAAAGAAGGGGGAGGAAAGGAAAACGAAAAUUGCUCGUAUAGUUCGUUAUUGUGUCGUGUAUUUCCUUUCACAUCGAGUGCACCGUUACCAAUAUCGCUUUACAAUUUUUUUUUCUUUUCAUACAAAAAGAUGAUUCGAUAAUCAGCGUCGCUACAUCAUUUUUGUGAUUCGUCAAUUAUCGGCGAACGAUCAAUUGUCGUUACACGUAUUUCAUAGAUAUAAUAUAUAUAAUAUAUAUAUAUAUAUCUUUAUCUUUAGCAUAACCUCCCUCUUAUAAAGUAAAUAUCAUACAAAAUCUAAGGCUAUACGUAAUUUAACUUUUAAUCCUCCAUUACAUACGAACAUAAUGCGCUAAUACAAUACGCGGAUGAAUUUCAAUUUUAUUUCUCUUACACGGUUUCAUUUACAAAAAAAGAGAUUCUACUUAUUAUGCGUCAACGAACCGGAUUGGAGACGACGGUGGUAGGCCCUCUUUUUAGAGCGAUUACAUUUUUCUUUACGAAAUAUACGAAGCACAGAAACUGUUCUUUUCUUGUGUAUUAGACCUGGUGCAGAUGAGCCAUUGAGAUGUCUUUGCGAUUACGCAGCAGUGUACAAGGUUAUUGUUGCGAUUCAAUUAUGUAUAUAUAUUUUUAAUAAUGCAAUGCGCAUAGGCGUGCGUUCCCGCUAUUAACUCUUUCAUUUCUAACGUUGGCUGUAAUCAGCAUCCAUGCGAGGACCUGUAGAUACGAAUGCCGACCAUAGUCGGCGCGGAUGUAAUAAACCAUACUAACGCCGAUUAUAGUAAUGAUUUAUUCGGCAACAAUUAUGUUACGUUCUGUAGUUAUUGCUUUGAUUCUAUUCGGAAGAAUUUGGAAGCAAUCCGUUAAUGGUAUAUAUAUGUUAAUUUCUUCAAUGUUGAAAGUUACAGUUUUAUUUAACUCUUUUUUUCUAUGCAAAUAUUAAUGCAAAUAAAUAUUCGCGGCGCGCGUUCUUCCACUAUAGAGGAACCAUAUUCGAAGUUAUGUGAAUUGCAAAGACAGGGUUAAAAAUAUAAUGUUACUGAGAAUCGCACACAGAGUUACCGCUACGAAAUCUCAACAAUAUUGAGUAGCUUAUUUACACGUGGUCUUACACCCGUCAAUUAUAGACGGAAUGUCGAUUGCCGCUAAAUCGACUUGAACUUUGUCACGUAGUUUGUUCACGUGCGCACGCAGUUACGGUUAGUACGCGCAUCAGUUCCGGCUGUUCAGCACCGCUCGAUAUCGAACUCGAAAAUUUAAAGAGCCGUUCGUGUAUUAUAAUUUCUGAAAUUUGGCGAAGAAUUUAACCGUGGUUAGUUAAAAAUAUGCCUUAAAAGUAUACGUUAUAUACAAAACGAAAGGAUACCGUUACAAAAGAUUAGUGCCCAAGUUGAUUGAAAGUGAUACUCGAUAAAGAUUUACGUUUUUUUUUUUUCAGGAUCACGGUAUACGAUUCUACGAUGAAAGACUAUUCUUUGAAAAGAUCUGGUUUCAACUCGUUCGCACAUUGAAUUCAGAUCACGAAUUGAUUAAUUAAUAAUUUGCAUUAAUUUCAGAGAAUUGUUUGUGCGAUUAUUAUAAACAACGAUGGGAAUUAUAUCGUUUGUAAUUUCGCUAAAAAUAGGCCGAGAUAGGUUUUUUCUUUUUCUUUUCUUGCUUCUAUCCUUAUCGUUUAAAUUGAGUAUCGGUAUACAAAAAGUUGUAAAUGUAGUUUUAUAGUAAGCUUAGAUUAACAUAAAGAAAGACGUACAUAUUAAAUGUACAUUACAGAUUGCUCUAAGAAUUAAUUGCUAGUCGUGUAAAUAGAUGAACAUAAAUGUACGCUAUACUGUAUACUAAAAAUGAAACAACGACGAUUCAUAGCACAUCUUUACGUACACAAUUCGAGCGGAAACUUAUAUAUAUGUAUUUGUACAUGGCAGCACGAUAUUUUUAAACGAACGUCGCACGUAUACUUAUCCUUAAUUAUCAGAAUCCUCUACUUGACAGUACAGUCAUUGAAUAAAUAAAAAUUACAGAAUUCGAUAUAAGCUACGCAUCGGAGAAAAUAAAAUUUAACAAUAUGUCUAUACAUGUCGCUAAUGAAUUAGAUCAUGUAAAAUAUUUUAUUGCUAUGUUUACAGAAUAAGCAGUACCUCGUUAAAAUCUCGACGCAAAGGUUGCAACGAUAAUACCUAAUUAUAAAGAAUACUUUUGAUAAUACUUUUUUGUAUUAUCUGUCUAGAAUAUUUCCUCCGCCAUUAAGACUUUAUAACGAGAGAAAAUAAUCGGAAAUGAAAUAAAACGAAGUAUACAUAUAUAGGGCGAUGUGUUUUGAUCCAUUAAUGAAUACAUAUUGGACAAAAUCAUUAAUUCGACAUAUGUAUAUUUUUUAAAUACCCUAUAUAUAUAAGCUUAAUACUCAGAUGUAACGUCUUUUUGCUUCGAGUAUUACAUAGUUUGGAAAAAAUCACUACGCAGUUUUGUAAUUUCAGCAGCUAUUUACAAUGAAAGAUUAUUCCAUACACAUCGUGUCGGACCAUUAGCUGUAAGAUACCGAUAUUUUUACAUCAUGCAAAUAUUUGAACACAAGUUGAACUGAUGCUACAUCGAAUGAUUAUAUAAAAAAGAAAGAUAAAAAAAUCAGUAAGUUCCAUUUAAUUACGAUCGAUCGCCUUGUUUCGUGGCAUCUAGGUUAUCCGCAAAACGCGUAACAUUUUAAUUGUCAGAUUACUUUCAUCUUAACAGCGAGUCGGUAAAAAGUAUUUAAAAAAAUUCAAAUAUGUAUAUCCGUAUCAAAUGUAAAAUGUCCUCGGAAGUUCAUUGAAAAAUUAGAUAAAAGUAACUCGAAAUUACAAGUUAUAAAAGUACAAGAUUGAUGCUAUAGAAAUUAAUUUCUAUUGCCAGUUAUACAAAGAGGAUUGUGAUUCAUCACAUCUUAAACUCAUCAGUCGCAUAGAAUAUCACAGGAACGUUAGUAGGUGCCAUUGGAUUUAUGUAUAUCAGAUAGAUAGUACAUUGCUCGUGCACGUAUUAAGAAAGUAUAAAGAUGUAUAGAAAAAAAACAGAUCUUAAAGUUAUCCUGUUUCAAUUCAAAAUCCAAAGUCUGUCAGUAUACUCUCGUUACUAAGGCAAUACUUUGCCGGUACAUUGCAUAUUUAAGAAGCUUUCUCAAUGUACUUUAGUGAAUCGUCAAACACAAGCAAUGAAUAAAUCACAAUGAAAAAAUGAAGUAUAAGCAUAGAAAAUGCCCUUGACAAUUAUCUUACUUGGUAUCAUUGCAAAUUUCAAUUUAUGUAUCAAAAUUGUAAAAAAGCUUUUGCUUCAAGCACUUUGAUCUCCAAGCAAAAUAGUUUUUUUUAUUGUGCUUUGUAAAAGUCUUCUCCCUUUCUUUUAAUUGUAAUAAGCUUGUGCUGCUACAAUUGACAUCUGUGCUGUAAUAGCAACAGAAAAAUUUCAAAUUCGUUUGCAUCGAAUCAAAGGUAUUUCCUUCAAAGAAGUAAGCUCCUUUGGUAAACGAUUUUAUUUUAAUUCCAAUAUUUUAAAGAUAUUUGUCAAAUGCAGCACAAUCAUAUUCACAAUAUAUCAUACUUCACUGCUAUGGCAAUAGCACAAUGUACAAAGAUCUACGCUAGCUGAUUCGAGUACUAUUACUUAACACGGUUACUUCAUUCGGAUAAUAGAGUGAAUUUAUCAUGAAUGGCAUUUUUAACGCGUAAGUUGACACAUAGUUGGUCAAUCACCUUUGUCUGGACACAGGAGAAUAUUUAAUAUAUAUCCUACAUGAAUUAUAUAUUAUCCACGAAAAAGACCGCCGUCUCCUCUUUUUCUUACACGUACUGCCUAAUACCAACGUACAUACCAACAAACCUCACGCACACGUUCCUAUAGGGCACGGUGUAUCAUUAAUCGCGCUACAUGUUCCUAGCCAAUUACAUAGAGCCAUUUACUUCGAGAUGAAUUAAAGUUAAUAUCAGAUCGAUAACCAAUUUAACUUCAAUCGACCGCAUCUAGUUUGAUUUAAAUAAAGAACUAACAUAUCAACACACAGCCUGAUGUAAUUAAUAAUGCGCGUCAUUAUUAGGAUAUACCUUUUGAGAGAAAAUGGCAAGCUGUGCAGCUGCCGUUAACUUUAACUUAUAUCUAAGGUAUAUCUGUAUUAUAAUACAUUGUAUUUUUCUUAUGCGCAUUUUACAAAAUGAGAAGUUAAAAAAUUGCAAUACACUUGUUAUUUGGCCGAAACAUAUCUUUUCUUUUCUUAUUGGACUGUAUCAGUAUCUUUGUUAUGAUAAAAAUAAAAAAUUGUAUACAUUAAUUUA
Bombus pyrosoma is the source of this 7230-nucleotide RNA transcript. It is a transcript of the gene named TBC1 domain family member 10A, with no coding region annotated. The record is from RefSeq and is a predicted model, not a curated record. Lineage: Eukaryota; Metazoa; Arthropoda; Insecta; Hymenoptera; Apidae. The transcript is spliced from 11 exons.